Non-coding RNA from Arachis ipaensis, 179 nucleotides. Lineage: Eukaryota; Viridiplantae; Streptophyta; Magnoliopsida; Fabales; Fabaceae. The record is from RefSeq and is a predicted model, not a curated record.
UUGCGCAUUUGGCCUGAUGGUGGCACGAGUCAAAAUCGUUGGACCGCGAGGCCACAUUGGUGGAGACGUUCAAGUACACCCACACGCUGAAGGAGAACAAAGCGAGAUUUGUUGAUCAGCGGUCUCGGGACCAUUGUGUGAAAGUCCUACACACAGAGACUAGAGACCGUGACUCAGCA